Cynara cardunculus var. scolymus (artichoke) is the source of this 163-nucleotide small nucleolar RNA. RefSeq annotates it as small nucleolar RNA U19. The transcript has a single exon. The record is from RefSeq and is a predicted model, not a curated record. NCBI's taxonomy places the organism in Eukaryota, Viridiplantae, Streptophyta, Magnoliopsida, Asterales, Asteraceae.
AUCGCGCUUAGUUAGGAGGCUUAUAUCGAAUAUGUUCCUGUCUCUAGAUUAAAACGUGAAUCUUCAUCGAUUAACUUUUUAUUUUGGAUCUGGAACUACUGAGACCUCUUGAGGAGUUCAUUUGUUUUACCAUCAAUUUUCUCCCAAGCAGUCUCAGAUAUUU